Molecule: ribosomal RNA, 253 nt
Filed under: uncultured bacterium
Lineage: Bacteria
Description: partial 16S ribosomal RNA
Rfam family: Bacterial small subunit ribosomal RNA
Source: RNAcentral
UACGUAGGGUGCAAGCGUUGUCCGGAAUUAUUGGGCGUAAAGAGCUCGUAGGCGGUUUGUCGCGUCUGCUGUGAAAACGCGGGGCUCAACUCCGCGCCUGCAGUGGGUACGGGCAGACUAGAGUGCAGUAGGGGAGACUGGAAUUCCUGGUGUAGCGGUGGAAUGCGCAGAUAUCAGGAGGAACACCGGUGGCGAAGGCGGGUCUCUGGGCUGUAACUGACGCUGAGGAGCGAAAGCAUGGGGAGCGAACAGG